CCUACGGGAGGCAGCAGUGAGGAAUAUUGGUCAAUGGGCGGAAGCCUGAACCAGCCAAGUAGCGUGCAGGAUGACGGCCCUACGGGUUGUAAACUGCUUUUAUACGGGAAUAACGCGCCUUACGUGUAGGGCUUUGCAUGUACCGUAUGAAUAAGGACCGGCUAAUUCCGUGCCAGCAGCCGCGGUAAUACGGAAGGUCCGGGCGUUAUCCGGAUUUAUUGGGUUUAAAGGGAGCGUAGGCCGCAUGUCAAGCGUGCUGUGAAAUGUCCGGGCUCAACCCGGGCCUGGCAGUGGAAACUGGCAGGCUCGAGUCGGAGAGAAGCAGGCGGAAUGCGUGGUGUAGCGGUGAAAUGCUUAGAUAUGGCGAAGAACCCCGAUUGCGAAGGCAGCUUGCUGGAGCGAAACUGACGCUGAGGCUCGAAAGCGCGGGUAUCGAACAGGAUUAGAUACCCGGGUAGUC
Molecule: ribosomal RNA, 460 nt
Filed under: uncultured bacterium
Lineage: Bacteria
Description: partial 16S ribosomal RNA
Rfam family: Bacterial small subunit ribosomal RNA
Source: RNAcentral